This 497-nucleotide ribosomal RNA is filed under the name uncultured bacterium. Its description in RNAcentral is "partial 16S ribosomal RNA". It matches the Rfam family "Bacterial small subunit ribosomal RNA", at positions 28 to 507 of the family's 1533-position model. The record is from RNAcentral.
GAUGAACGCUGGCGGCGUGCCUAAUACAUGCAAGUCGAGCGAACAGACGAGGAGCUUGCUUCUCUGACGUUAGCGGCGGACGGGUGAGUAACACGUGGAUAACCUACCUAUAAGACUGGGAUAACUUCGGGAAACCGGAGCUAAUACCGGAUAAUAUAUUGAACCGCAUGGUUCAAUAGUGAAAGACGGUUUUGCUGUCACUUAUAGAUGGAUCCGCGCCGCAUUAGCUAGUUGGUAAGGUAACGGCUUACCAAGGCAACGAUGCGUAGCCGACCUGAGAGGGUGAUCGGCCACACUGGAACUGAGACACGGUCCAGACUCCUACGGGAGGCAGCAGUAGGGAAUCUUCCGCAAUGGGCGAAAGCCUGACGGAGCAACGCCGCGUGAGCGAUGAAGGUCUUCGGAUCGUAAAACUCUGUUAUUAGGGAAGAACAAAUGUGUAAGUAACUAUGCACGUCUUGACGGUACCUAAUCAGAAAGCCACGGCUAACUACGUG